UUCAUCAUCGGCUCGCUUGAAAUGAAUUAGCUGAAUCUCUAUACUGUGUGGUUCUACUCAACGUGAUAAGUACUCCGUUGAGGACAGCAGGGCUUGCCCUGUUGGCCACUGGAAUGGAUCGAUACGCUUCUAAUCAGCACAGACUUCGGGAGCUGGCAAUUAUGACAAUCUGGCCUCAAAUCAGGUGGGACUACCCGCUGAACUUAAGCAUAUCAAUAAGCGGAGGAAAAGAAACUAACAAGGAUUCCCCUAGUAACGGCGAGUGAAGCGGGAUGAGCUCAAAUUUAAAAUCUGGCAGUCUACGAUUGUCCGAGUUGUAAAUUCGAGAAGUGUUUUCCGCGGCGGCCUGUGUACAAGUCCCUUGGAAUAGGGCGUCAUAGAGGGUGAGAGUCCCGUCCUUGACACAGAUUACCGUUGCUUUGUGAUACACUCUCUAUGAGUCGAGUUGUUUGGGAAUGCAGCUCAAAUUGGGUGGUAAAUUCCAUCUAAAGCUAAAUACUGGCGAGAGACCGAUAGCGAACAAGUACCGUGAGGGAAAGAUGAAAAGCACUUUGGAAAGAGAGUCAAACAGUACGUGAAAUUGUUGAAAGGGAAACGAUUGAAGUCAGUCGUGCCUGCCUUGUUCAGCCGUCCUUGUGGCGGUGUAUUCAUGGUAUGGCAGGUCAGCAUCACUUUGGGCGAGUCGACAAGGGGUUCAGGAAUGUGGCAUCCUCGGAUGUGUUAUAGCCUGGGCUCGCAUCGGCUUGGCUGGAGUGAGGAACGCAGUGCGCCCGCAAGGGUA
This 781-nucleotide ribosomal RNA is filed under the name Cystofilobasidium sp. 3 AP-2015. Its description in RNAcentral is "eukaryotic LSU rRNA". The stretch from base 171 to 781 matches the Rfam family "Eukaryotic large subunit ribosomal RNA", at positions 1 to 614 of the family's 3401-position model. Lineage: Eukaryota; Fungi; Basidiomycota; Tremellomycetes; Cystofilobasidiales; Cystofilobasidiaceae. The record is from RNAcentral.